RNAcentral lists this ribosomal RNA (252 nucleotides) under uncultured bacterium. RNAcentral's name for it is "partial 16S ribosomal RNA". It matches the Rfam family "Bacterial small subunit ribosomal RNA", at positions 524 to 776 of the family's 1533-position model. The record is from RNAcentral.
UACGUAGGCAGCAAGCGUUGUUCGGAAUUACUGGGCGUAAAGAGUGUGUAGGCGGUGCUCUAAGUUCGGUGUGAAAUCUCCUGGCUUAACUGGGAGGGUGCGCCGGAAACUGGAGUGCUCGAGCGUGGGAGAGGAAAGCGGAAUUCCUGGUGUAGCGGUGAAAUGCGUAGAUAUCAGGAGGAACACUGUGGUGUAGACAGCUUUCUGGACCAUAGCUGACGCUGAGACACGAAAGCGUGGGUAGCAAACAGG